GAUUCGUGUUGGAUGGUCCUGUGCCAGUGCUGAAGCACCUGGGUGCUUCAGGGUUUGGUUCAGGUGAGCAGAGCAGAGCCAGAGCACAGGCUUCAGAAGAGGAGCAUCCAGGGAGGAAAAUGCUAUUAGCGGGAGGAUCUCUGCCUGGGGUUUUGCAGACUUUGAGCUGAUCAACUCUCCAAGGGGGAAUGUCAGUGCUUCACUUACCUAACAUCCCAAGAAACCUCUAAAAACAGGGAAAAUGAGAGAGAAAGAGAAGAAACCAAAGCUUUUGGCUGGCACCUACUCCCUCUGCUUUGGACCUUGUAAAAUGACUGAAGGUCCUGGCACAUCUAGGCACUUAUGUAUCGCAUAAAGCUGAGUGCAUUUCAUUUAUGUCACACUUUUGAAUACACUUGCAUGCACAAUGACCUGUGCUGUCUGCCAGGAGAGGAAAUGGAAUAAAAGUAGAGCUGGCCAGAAUGCCAUAAGGUCUGUUCCAAGACCUAGCAAAGUCUGGCUGCAUUUUCAGGUUAUUUAAUCUCCCCGCUGUUUUAUAUUAAAGGGAUAAUGGUCACAGACCAGAACUACUGACACUUGUCAGGUAAUGAUCAACUGGAGUGUCUUGUCAGGCCUGGCUGUUAACCAAAAUAUAGCUUCCAGGAGUAGAGGCUCCCAAAUGUCUCACCUGCUCCUUCUGCAGGGCUCCAGUACGCUCCAGCCAUGCCUUUGAUAGAGCUACUGCCAACUGUCAGAGGAGAGUUGAGGACAUUGCAGGCUGCUCUUGAAAAAUGCACGUUACUGGUGCACAAACAUGGGAAAACCUUUGUGCACCUUUUGUGCUGAUAUGGAGAAGCCAUGGCUCCUCUGAAGGGCUGGGGUGAUGUGACAUACACUUGACCCCUUGUGUACUUUGGUUUAGGCUAACUAAGGAGCAACAGGCCUCAUACCACAUAGAACCUAUGAGCUGGAAAGCUCCUGGCUCACGUACAAGGGAGUGAAGAUGUAAAAUGAAGACUUGUAUAUACUAUUGACUUGCAGCACUUGUCUAAUUCACUCUACAAAUAUUACCAUUUAGACGGGCGCUGAUCCUUAAGCUCUUGGUCAGCUAUUUAUCCAUCUCCAGGCAGAGCUCUGCACUCCAGCUAGUCAUUGACAUAGAGGGUGACACCCCCUCCUUGUCUCCCCAUCCUGUCUUUCCUGAAGAGCCUGUAUCCUUCCAUUCCAACACUGCAGCUAUAGGAGGCACCCCACGACGUCUCUGUAAUGCCAAUGAGGUCAUAACCUUUCAGGCAUGCACAGUCCUCUAACUCCUCUUACUUAUUCUCCAUGCUAUGUGCAUGUGGCAUAGAGUCAUUACAGUUGGGCCCCUAAUGAAGCUGGCUCAUUGGCUGGAAGUCCUUUGGGCCUCUCUCUCUGGCACUGGUAUUAGGCUGGUAGGAAUGGGAUGGAUUGAGGUUCCCCUCCUCCAGCAACUUUAGUUUAAAGCCUUCACCAGCUUGGCAAGCCUGUGACUGAAGAUGCUCUUCCCCUUCUCUGGCAUAUGGACCCCAUCAGCUCCCAGUAGACCAAGCUUCUCAAAGUGAGUCCCAUGGUCUAAGUAUCUGAACCCCUGCCUGUGACACCAGUCUUAUAACCAUUCAUUGAUUCUACUGGCCUUUCAAAUCCAAUCUCUUCCCUUAGACCAGGAGGAUCGAUGAGUCCAGCAUGAUCAGGCCAGCGUGUCUUCUUUCCACAGUGCCACUGGACUAAACCAUGCUUCUUUCAUUAAACAAGCAGAUUUAUAGGUUUUCAAGGGCUUGAAGUCUUACAGGCUUUGGCCAGCAUUUGUUUCAGACACUGAAGAGCGCUUCUUUGCCUAGCAAAGCCAUGAAUGCCUGUUUUCCCACUGAUUUAAGGCUUCCUAGAGCUCUUCAACUGAUAGUCUCUUUGAUGUCUAAUCAGCCCUGCAGGUUGUCUUUUUAGUCAUGAAAAUCCUUCAUAAUGUUCCCCCAUAAACAGUACAAUCACAGUCCAGUCACAUUCUCAAUAUUUCAGUAUAUCUCUGGAGAGGUUUCUGGAGCAAAACCAGUUUCCAUCAGCUAAUUCAGGUAGUUAAGUAAUCAUCGGAGUGUUUUGGAUGUGCUUGAUAAAGAAGGUCUGAAGUGGUAAGAUCCCACUGAUCCUGCUGUCUUCAACUGUCCAUCCCUAUCUGAAACAGUAAAAGACAAAAUGGAAUAAUGCAAAAAGCUUUUUUUGUUAAUAUCAAGUGAGCUGCCCACAACCAGCUAGGGAGAUUUUCAAGUUAUGAUCAGAGGUGGCAUUCUGGAAAUCUCUUUCUCCUCCCUGAGGUGGUUUCUUUAGGAAGAAAGCAGUCAGCACUAGCAGCAUUAGAGAGAUCAGCUUUAACCUCUGGGAGUAGAGAUGAAAGGGGAGCAUUUAUUGUUUGCAAGACACCGUUUCUGGUUUUAUGCAGAAUCAGCCAAGUAGCUCUGCACCAGUUCACAUACUUCAAUGUCUGCAAGAUUUUCUUUCUAUGCAAAAGGGUUGCACAGUUCCUAUUUUCAAAGAAGAUAUAUAAAGUUUCAGGAAAAGCAGCAGACAGCAUCAAACACCUUAGCACAGGAUCUGAUGUGGGUCUUAUUUUCAUGCUUUUGUUGUUUCAGAAGAGAAAAGAUACUGCAGAUCAUACAUACAUACUGAUCAGAUGAAGCAUCAGCUGUAAGAUAAACAGGCAGUUCUCCUAUGGAGCAUCACUCCAGAAUGAGGCACUGGGUGUCCUGGUACAGGAAACACAGGGAGAUGGCUCAGUACCCUGCAGUAUCUUGUCUGGAGACUCAAGGUGAACAAAAGAGUUAAGAACUCAAGGCUGCUAUUGCAGGCAGUAAUUGGGGUAAGCAGUUGGCAAGGCACAGAAAAUUCUUUUAGCUCACACCUUUCAGCUGUCAUCAGAACAAAAUUGUAAAUCAAUAUUAUUGGUCCCCAGAGAGGUUCAGUGGAGCUAAAUUAACAUAACUUCAUAAAUGACAGACUUUCCCAUUCAUCUCAGUCCCUAGCAAGAAACUAUCCUUUGCUGCUUUACUGCAGCAGUCCCCAGGAGCAGUGGCAGUGUUUCAGAUACUCCCGCAUAACAUGUCACACAACAUAGCACUUCCCAGCUAACUCCAAAACUUUUGUUCAAAGUCAAAACAAUAUUCAUCUCUUUAUGUUUAUAAAAAGGGGAAAAUAUGCAUUAAUAUAACUCUCUCUGUUGUAGAGAGAGUUCCUUAUGACACCACCUUCAAGAGAUUUCUUCAGCAAUGGAGAUGCCUGUUUGCAGAGCUGAAGGUGACAGGGGACAAGAGGUGAUUGCCAUUAAACACCUUGCCAUCAAUAAUGGGAAUAUUUCUUUCAGGACUUUUGUGCAGUAUGAUGUAUAUUAUGUCUGCUGCUGCAGCGGAAUAUGUUGUCUUUCUUGCUUAAAUUUUCCCACCUGGGAAAAGAAGUGAAGUACUAUCCAACCAGAACCCCACUGCUUCAGGAGAAGGUUCAUUCCCUUCGAGCAAGCAAUAAUGGAAAGCAGACAGUAAUUUACAAAUGGAAAUAGCAAACACUUUUUUUAUCCUGACAUCCAGAGGACGGGCUCUUUUUCUCUUGGUGUACAAAAGCAGUGGAUCAGAAACAUGAGCUGUUUCAAAAGCCGCAUGGGGAAACUGAAACUGUGGAUGUGGGAUGCUGCCAGUACCCAUGCUGCAACACUGUCAGGAAGUCUUUCCAGUCAGUGUCAAGGUGACAAGAAGGAAGAACUUGGACUAUUUGUGUUAUAGGGGUAAACAGGAAGAACUCCAGCACCUUGCCAUCCACGCAUCUCUUCCAGGUUUUGGAGUGUGGUCUGCCAUCCUGAACUAUCCUCUGAGCAGUCCUUCUGGGGCAUGCUGUAUUCAGUGUACCCUGGAGUUGAACAGAAUGAUUUUUAUCCUCUAUGGUCCUGCAGAGUGACCCCAUGGAGCUGUCAGGAGACAGCCUGAAAUCCCACUGGCCCUUCCUUAGGCACUGAGAACCAGCUAUUUCCUGGUGGAUCACGAUUGAGGGAUAGCAAAGGGGCGUCUAAACAGAAAGCAUUGUAAGCAAAGCAAAUCUCACAGACUCCUUUAUCAGUGUCACUUGAGGGGAUGCUCUCUCUCCUGAGUUAGAAGGCCCAUUGAUUUCUGACUGCCUGCUGUUUGGAGGAAGCUUUCCUUGAGUCAUGGAGUCUUACAGCCUAAAAAGACUUUCCAAUCACCUGCUCUGACUCUCCACAUGUUCCUUUGGGACCCUGGGACACUUGGCUGGAAGGAAAACUCCCAGAAGUGGAUCCAAUGGCACAAGGGAUCCCACCUUCAAUGGAAGCUGCAGCUGGUAAACAUUGGCUCUAGCUGUGUGCCUAUUGGACCAAUAUCGCUCCAGCACCUGCUGUUUCUUUUAUUCUGUGCAGCUGAAAAUUAGCUGUCAGGUAACUGGUGACCCACUGGCCAUGGUAGAAAAUGACUCAUUAUUAAAUUACUCUUAUUAAAUGAUAAAA
This is a long non-coding RNA of Strigops habroptila (Kakapo), 4498 nucleotides long. RefSeq lists it as uncharacterized. NCBI's taxonomy places the organism in Eukaryota, Metazoa, Chordata, Aves, Psittaciformes, Psittacidae. The record is from RefSeq and is a predicted model, not a curated record. The transcript is spliced from 4 exons.